This 364-nucleotide ribosomal RNA is filed under the name Burkholderia sp. RNAcentral's name for it is "bacterial SSU rRNA". It matches the Rfam family "Bacterial small subunit ribosomal RNA", at positions 400 to 757 of the family's 1533-position model. Lineage: Bacteria; Pseudomonadati; Pseudomonadota; Betaproteobacteria; Burkholderiales; Burkholderiaceae. The record is from RNAcentral.
GAAGCGUCAGAAGGCCUUCGGGUUGUAAAGCACUUUUGUCCGGAAAGAAAACUUCUGCCCUAAUACGGCGGGAGGAUGACGGUACCGGAAGAAUAAGCACCGGCUAACUACGUGCCAGCAGCCGCGGUAAUACGUAGGGUGCGAGCGUUAAUCGGAAUUACUGGGCGUAAAGCGUGCGCAGGCGGUUUGUUAAGACCGAUGUGAAAUCCCCGGGCUCAACCUGGGAACUGCAUUGGUGACUGGCAAGCUAGAGUAUGGCAGAGGGGGGUAGAAUUCCACGUGUAGCAGUGAAAUGCGUAGAGAUGUGGAGGAAUACCGAUGGCGAAGGCAGCCCCCUGGGCCAAUACUGACGCUCAUGCACGAG